AUUGAACGCUGGCGGCAGGCCUAACACAUGCAAGUCGAACGGUAACAGGGAUCAGCUUGCUGAUUCGCUGACGAGUGGCGGACGGGUGAGUAAUGUCUGGGAAACUGCCUGAUGGAGGGGGAUAACUACUGGAAACGGUAGCUAAUACCGCAUAACGUCGCAAGACCAAAGAGGGGGACCUUCGGGCCUCUUGCCAUCGGAUGUGCCCAGAUGGGAUUAGCUAGUAGGUGGGGUAACGGCUCACCUAGGCGACGAUCCCUAGCUGGUCUGAGAGGAUGACCAGCCACACUGGAACUGAGACACGGUCCAGACGCCUACGGGAGGCAGCAGUGGGGAAUAUUGCACAAUGGGCGCAAGCCUGAUGCAGCCAUGCCGCGUGUAUGAAGAAGGCCUUCGGGUUGUAAAGUACUUUCAGCGGGGAGGAAGGGAGUAAAGUUAAUACCUUUGCUCAUUGACGUUACCCGCAGAAGAAGCACCGGCUAACUCCGU
This 489-nucleotide ribosomal RNA is filed under the name uncultured bacterium. RNAcentral describes it as "partial 16S ribosomal RNA". It matches the Rfam family "Bacterial small subunit ribosomal RNA", at positions 30 to 506 of the family's 1533-position model. The record is from RNAcentral.